AUCUAUCUUGUGACCUUUCAGCUGUUCAGCAGUAAAACAGAAACUUAGAGAACUUACAAAAUAUGCAGAGGUUUUCUGCCCUUGCUGGAGAGGAAUUUCAAUCAUUUGGAGAAGAUGAGGUCUGCUGCAGUUUGCGGGAGGUCCACUCCAGACCCUGUUUGCCUGGGUGUCACCAGUGGAGGCUGCAGAACAGAAAGGAUUGCCACCUGCUCCUUCCUCUGGAAGCUUCAUCCCAGAGGGACACUGGCCUGAUGCCAGCCACAGCUCUCCUGUACAAGUGUUUAUUAUAUCCCUCUAUAUGGCCAUGUGUACUCAUCGUUCACCUUCCACUUACAUGUAAAAACAUAUGAAUGUUGCAUAUGCUGAGAAGAAUGUGUAUUCUACAGAUGCUGGAGGAAAUGUUCUGCAAAUAUCUAUUACAUUUAUUUGCCCUAUUGUAUAAAGUAAUGAUUGUGAUUCUUUUUAAAUUUUUAUUCUAGAUUAUCUGCCUUCUAGAUAAUGAAAUUGUAAAAGUCUGUUUUGUGAUAAAAAUGUCUUGAAGCCUUCAGCUGAUCUUUAGGAUUUUACUCUAUUGUUUAAAAUGUAUAAAUUUAAGUGUACAAUGCAAUUUUAUUACAUGAUCAUAUUGUGUAGUGAUAAAGUCAUGGUUUUAGUGUAUUAAUCAUCUGAAUAAUGUACAUUGUACUCAUUAAGUAUGUCUCAUCAACCAAGCUCUUUCCAUCCUUCCACAUUUCUGACUCUCCAAUGUGUAUCAUUCUAUACUUUAUGCCCAUGCUUACAAUAUUGUGAAUAUACAGUAUUUGACUUUAUGUUUCCAAGUUUGUUUGUUUUAGAUCAUGGCCUCCAGUUUUAUACAUGUCAAUAGAGAGGACAUGACUUUAUUCUUUUCUAUAAUGAAAUUGUAUUUUAUUAUGUUUAUGUAGCAUAUUUGUUUAAUCUAAUUAUAUGGUGAUAAUCAGUUUAGGUAAUUCUAUUGUUUUACUACUGUGAAUAAUGCUGCAAUACUUAUAUGAUAUGUAUUUUAUAUAAUGAUUUUAAUAUCUUUGAUAGAUACCCAGUAGUGGGAUUGCUGGAACAAGUGGUACUUACAGUUUUAGUUCUUUGAUAAAUAACCAUUCUGUUUUUCAUAGAGCUUAUACUAAUCUAUAUUCCCACCAACAGUAUUAAGCAUUCUUUCUUAGCAUCCUCAUCAUCUGUUUUUCUUUUUAUGUAAUAGCCAUUUUGAGUGGUGUAAUAUGAUAUCUAUCUUACGGUGGUUUUAGUUUGCAUUUCUUUGAUCAUUAGUGAUGUUGAACAUUGGCUUAUAUGCAUGCUGGCCUUUGGAUGUCUUCUUUUGAUAAAUGACUAUUCAUAUUAUUAAUAGCUUUUAUUAUCCUUUCAAAACUUAAAUUUUGGUUUUCACAAACACAUGAAGGUUUCUUACACAGUUAAACUCAGGUCAUAGGGAUGAGUUGUAAAGAUUAUUUCAUCACCUGGAAAUUAAGCCCAAUACCCAAUAGUUAUCUUUUCUGCUUGUCUCCCUUUUUCUUCCCACCAUCCUCAAGUAGACCCCACUGUCUGUUAUUUCCUUCUUUGUUUUAACAAGUAUUACUUAGCCCUAACCUUUGAUGAAAACUAUUGGUUUUCUCUUCCAGCAUUAGCUUACUCAGAUUAAUACCCUCCAUCUCCAUCCAUGUGCCUGCAAAAAAAAAACAUAAUCUUGCUUUUUUAUAUGUAUAUUGGCAUAGUAUUCCAUGGUAUAUAUAUGCCAUAUUGCUUUAUUCUAUCAUUAAUGAACAUUUAUAUUAAUAUCAUGUCUUUGCUAUUGUAAAUACUGCUGCUAUGAAUAUUCAUGUGUAUGUCUCUGUGUGGUAGGAUGAUUUAUGUAUCAUCCUUUGGUACACACUUAGUCAUAAAAUUGCUUAGCCAAAUGGUAGUUCUGCUUUUAGCCUUUUGCAGAAUCACAAUACUGCUUUCCACAAUGCUUGAACUAAUUUAUGCACCCACAAACAGUGUAUAUAUGUUUCCCUUUCUCUGCAGUCUUGCCAGCAUCUGUUACUAUUUCACUUUUUAGUAAUAGCUUUUCUGACAGCUGUGAGAUUGUAUCUUAUUGUGGUUUUGAUUUGCAUUUAUCUAAUCAUCACUGAUAUUGAGCUUUUUUUAUACAUGAUUAUUGGCAGCAUGUAUGUCUUCUUUUAAAAAAAAUCUGUUCAUGUCCUUUUCCCAUUUUUAAUGGGGUUUUCUAUUGGAAUUGUGUUAAAGUUCUUUAUAGAUGUUGGGUAUUAGACUUUUUCAGAUGCAUAGUUUGCAAAAUUUUUCAGAUUUUUGUCAGAUGCACAGGUUGCAAAAUUUUCUCCCAUUCUGUAGGUUGUCUGUGUACUCUGUUGAUAGUUUCUUUUGCUGUACAAAGUAACAUUUUAAUGGUUUUAUUUGUUUUUCCUGUUGCUUGAGUUUAUUAUAUAUUCUAGAUAUCAGUGUAUUUCUUUUGUUUCUACCCUGACCUUUGUAAUUUAUAAUUUUCUACACAUUGUGAGUAGUUUCAUUUUGUUUUCCUAAAACUCUGAGUUGUCUUAUUUGACUUUUUAGAGCUUUUUACUUUUAAGUGUUGGAAUUUGUUGCUAUCAACUUUUCUAUUUUAGCGAUAUUUGAUUUUUCUUUUUAAUUUUAUAUAUUGUGUUUACUUUUUUAUUUGUCUCAACAUUUAAACAUUUUUAUUUUUACUUUUUUUGGUUCAUUGAUUUUUCAGGAGCAUGCUAUUUAAUUUUUACAUAUCUGUAAAUUUC
Molecule: long non-coding RNA, 2762 nt
Filed under: Homo sapiens (human)
Lineage: Eukaryota; Metazoa; Chordata; Mammalia; Primates; Hominidae
Description: HSALNT0409559
Source: RNAcentral